RNAcentral lists this ribosomal RNA (1571 nucleotides) under Clostridioides difficile. RNAcentral's name for it is "bacterial LSU rRNA". It matches the Rfam family "Bacterial large subunit ribosomal RNA", at positions 1144 to 2723 of the family's 2925-position model. Lineage: Bacteria; Bacillati; Bacillota; Clostridia; Peptostreptococcales; Peptostreptococcaceae. The record is from RNAcentral.
ACCUAUUCCAGAGGCUAGUUUUUAUUUUUUUUUUUUUUUCAAGCAGAAGACGGCAUACGAGAUCAGCCUCGGUCUCGUGGGCUCGGAGAUGUGUAUAAGAGACAGGGUUGAAGCAUGACCGUAAGGACAUGUGGACAGUAUGGGAGUGAGAAUGUUGGCAUGAGUAGCGAGAUGUGGGUGAGAAUCCCACAGGCCGUAAACCCAAGGUUUCCAGGGGAAGGUUCGUCCGCCCUGGGUUAGUCGGGACCUAAGCUGAGGCCGAAAGGCGUAGGUGAUGGACAACAGGUUGAUAUUCCUGUACUACCGAUAACCGUUUGAGAGAAGGGAUGACACAGUAGGAUAAGCUAAGCACACUGUUGGUUAUGUGUGCCCAAGCAUUGAGGCAGUCAAAGUAGGCAAAUCCGCUUUGAUAAUGCUGGGAUGUGAUGGGGAGCGAAAUUUAGUAGCGAAGUAGCUGAUUUCACACUGUCAAGAAAAGUCUCUAUCGAGGUUAAAGGUACCCGUACCGCAAACCGACACAGGUGGGUGAGGAGAGUAUCCUAAGGCCAGCGAGAGAACUGUUGUUAAGGAACUCGGCAAAAUGACCCCGUAACUUAGGGAUAAGGGGUGCCACCAUCAGGUGGCCGCAGAGAAUAGGCCCAAGCGACUGUUUACCAAAAACAUAGGUUUCUGCUAAGUCGCAAGACGAUGUAUAGGAGCUGACGCCUGCCCGGUGCUGGAAGGUUAAGGGGAUCUGUUAGAGCAAUCGAAGCAGUGAACUUAAGCCCCAGUAAACGGCGGCCGUAACUAUAACGGUCCUAAGGUAGCGAAAUUCCUUGUCGGGUAAGUUCCGACCCGCACGAAAGGCGUAACGAUUUGGGCACUGUCUCAACAACAGACUCGGUGAAAUUGUAAUUCCGGUGAAGAUGCCGGAUACCUGCGACAGGACGGAAAGACCCCAUGGAGCUUUACUGUAGCUUGACAUUGGGUCUUGGUACUACAUGUACAGGAUAGGUGGGAGGCUUUGAAACCAGGACGCCAGUUUUGGCGGAGCCAUCCUUGGGAUACCACCCUUGUAGUACUGGGACUCUAACCAUAGGCCAUGAAUCUGGUCUUGGGACACUGUCAGGUGGGCAGUUUGACUGGGGCGGUCGCCUCCCAAAAGGUAACGGAGGCGCUCAAAGGUUCUCUCAGUACGGUCGGAAAUCGUACGUAGAGUGUAAAGGCAAAAGAGAGCUUGAUUGCAAGACAUACAGGUCGAGCAAGGAUGAAAAUCGGACUUAGUGAUCCGGUGGUUCUGCGUGGAAGGGCCAUCGCUCAACGGAUAAAAGCUACCCUGGGGAUAACAGGCUUAUCUCCCCCAAGAGUCCACAUCGACGGGGAGGUUUGGCACCUCGAUGUCGGCUCAUCACAUCCUGGGGCUGUAGUAGGUCCCAAGGGUUGGGCUGUUCGCCCAUUAAAGUGGUACGCGAGCUGGGUUCAGAACGUCGUGAGACAGUUCGGUCCCUAUCCGUCGCAGGCGUAGGAAAUUUGAGAAGACCUGUCCUUAGUACGAGAGGACCGGGAUGGACGUACCUCUGGUGUACCAGUUG